RNAcentral lists this ribosomal RNA (433 nucleotides) under uncultured bacterium. Its description in RNAcentral is "partial 16S ribosomal RNA". It matches the Rfam family "Bacterial small subunit ribosomal RNA", at positions 29 to 507 of the family's 1533-position model. The record is from RNAcentral.
AGCGAACGCUGGCGGCAGGCUUAACACAUGCAAGUCGAGCGGGCACUUCGGUGUCAGCGGCAGACGGGUGAGUAACACGUGGGAACGUACCCUUUGGUUCGGAAUAACGCUGGGAAACUAGCGCUAAUACCGGAUACGCCCUUUUGGGGAAAGGCUUGCUGCCGAAGGAUCGGCCCGCGUCUGAUUAGCUAGUUGGUGGGGUAAUGGCCUACCAAGGCGACGAUCAGUAGCCGGUCUGAGAGGAUGAUCAGCCACACUGGGACUGAGACACGGCCCAGACUCCUACGGGAAGCAGCAGUGGGGAAUAUUGGACAAUGGGCGCAAGCCUGAUCCAGCCAUGCCGCGUGAGUGAUGAAGGCCUUAGGGUUGUAAAGCUCUUUUGUCCGGGACGAUAAUGACGGUACCGGAAGAAUAAGCCCCGGCUAACUUCGUG